Molecule: unclassified non-coding RNA, 538 nt
Filed under: Dirofilaria immitis (dog heartworm nematode)
Lineage: Eukaryota; Metazoa; Nematoda; Chromadorea; Rhabditida; Onchocercidae
Description: sequence contains 5.8S rRNA gene and ITS2
Source: RNAcentral
AACAGAAUAGCGAUCGCAAUCGCACAAACGAGUAGAUAACCGAUGGUACGUCUGGUUGAGGGUCAAUAUCGAUCAGAUUAUCAAAUAAUAUACCAAAAUUGAUACAUAUGAUACAUAUGAAUGAUAUAUGUUUUGGAUAUAUUAUUUGUUAAAAUUAAUUCAUCAGGUGAUGAUGUGAUGAUAAUCAUUGAAAAAUGACAAAAAUCCCCUGAUUAAGUAUGAUAAAAAUAGUAAGUAAAAAAGGCAAAUUUUUUUUUUUUACAAAAUAUUUAAUUGUAGUAAUAAAUUUUUUCUUCUUUAUAUUUAAUUGCUGUAAAUCAUCAAAAUAAAAUAAAUAAAAAAAAAAAAAUAAUUAUUAUUAUUAUUUUUUUUGAUCAUUAUUGCUAUAAUUAUUAUGCUGUUUUAAUAACAAUAAUAAUAACAAAAAAAAAAAAAUAAAUAUAAAAAUGACAAAAAAACCCAAAAUAUAUUAAAUUUUUUUUCUUUUUUUAUCUCCACCCCGCCCUGUAAAACCCCACAAAAAAAAAAAAAGGUGGAA